RNAcentral lists this ribosomal RNA (337 nucleotides) under Synxenoderus comosus. RNAcentral describes it as "partial 28S ribosomal RNA". It matches the Rfam family "Eukaryotic large subunit ribosomal RNA", at positions 662 to 965 of the family's 3401-position model. Lineage: Eukaryota; Metazoa; Arthropoda; Insecta; Hemiptera; Cimicidae. The record is from RNAcentral.
CGGACCAAGGAGUUUAGCGUGUGCGCGAGUCACUGGGUGGAAAACCUAAAGGCGCAAUGAAAGUGAAGAAAGUCUCUGACCUUUGAGGGAAGAUGGGCGUCCGUCCUUCGCAGGCGGCGCCCCGCACUCCCGGGGCGUCUCUUUCUCAUUACGAGUGGAGGCGCACCUGUAGCGCACACGCUGAUACCCGAAAGAUGGUGAACUAUGCCUGGCCAGGACGAAGCCAGGGGAAACCCUGGUGGAGGUCCGCAGCGAUUCUGACGUGCAAAUCGAUCGUCGGAGCUGGGUAUAGGGGCGAAAGACCAAUCGAACCAUCUAGUAGCUGGUUCCUUCCGAA